This 460-nucleotide ribosomal RNA is filed under the name uncultured bacterium. Its description in RNAcentral is "partial 16S ribosomal RNA". It matches the Rfam family "Bacterial small subunit ribosomal RNA", at positions 338 to 795 of the family's 1533-position model. The record is from RNAcentral.
CCUACGGGAGGCAGCAGUGAGGAAUAUUGGUCAAUGGGCGGAAGCCUGAACCAGCCAAGUCGCGUGAGGGAAUAAGGCCCUACGGGUCGUAAACCUCUUUUGCCGGGGAGCAAGGGCGGGGACGCGUCCCGGCCCGGAGAGUACCCGGAGAAAAAGCAUCGGCUAACUCCGUGCCAGCAGCCGCGGUAAUACGGAGGAUGCGAGCGUUAUCCGGAGUUAUUGGGUUUAAAGCGUGCGUAGGCGGGCUUUUAAGCCGGCGGUAAAAAGUCGGGGCUCAACCCCGGCCGGCCGUUGAAACUGGGUGCCGUGAGUGGGCGAGAAGUAGGCGGAAUGCGUGGUGUAGCGGUGAAAUGCAUAGAUAUCACGCAGAACCCCGAUUGCGAAGGCAGCAUACCGGCGCCCUACUGACGCUGAGGCACGAAAGUGCGGGGAUCGAACAGGAUUAGAUACCCGUGUAGUC